This is a small nucleolar RNA of Salvia hispanica, 104 nucleotides long. RefSeq annotates it as small nucleolar RNA Z103. NCBI's taxonomy places the organism in Eukaryota, Viridiplantae, Streptophyta, Magnoliopsida, Lamiales, Lamiaceae. The record is from RefSeq and is a predicted model, not a curated record.
AUGGAGGUGAUGAAUUUUUCCUCAGAUGAUUCGACGCUGAAAUAACUGAGCGCUACUUUUUUUCUCCCUUUGUGGUGAAAAUCCAAGCCAAAAUUCUGAUCCAU